GCGGGGGUUGCCGAGCGGCCAAAGGCGCGGGACUUAAGAUCCUGUCUUUAGUAGUUCAGGGGUUCGAAUCCCUUCCCCCGCA
Molecule: transfer RNA, 82 nt
Filed under: Methanomassiliicoccales archaeon RumEn M2
Lineage: Archaea; Methanobacteriati; Thermoplasmatota; Thermoplasmata; Methanomassiliicoccales
Rfam family: tRNA
About the family: Transfer RNA (tRNA) molecules are approximately 80 nucleotides in length. Their secondary structure includes four short double-helical elements and three loops (D, anti-codon, and T loops).
Source: Rfam by way of RNAcentral